GAUGAAGAACGCAGCGAAAUGCGAUAAGUAAUGUGAAUUGCAGAAUUCAGUGAAUCAUCGAAUCUUUGAACGCACAUUGCGCCCGCCAGUAUUCUGGCGGGCAUGCCUGUUCGAGCGUCAUUACAACCCUCAGGCCCCCGGGCCUGGCGUUGGGGAUCGGCGAGGCGCCCCCCGCGGGCACGCGCCGUCCCCCAAAUACAGUGGCGGUCCCGCCGCAGCUUCCAUUGCGUAGUAGCUAACACCUCGCAACUGGAGAGCGGCGCGGCCAUGCCGUAAAACACCCAACUUCUGAAUGUUGACCUCGAAUCAGGUAGGAAUACCCGCUGAACUUAAGCAUAUCAAUAAGCGGAG
Molecule: unclassified non-coding RNA, 351 nt
Filed under: soil metagenome
Description: partial contains 5.8S ribosomal RNA, internal transcribed spacer 2, and large subunit ribosomal RNA
Rfam family: 5.8S ribosomal RNA (bases 1-120)
Source: RNAcentral